UUUUAUGGCAACUGUGCAAGGGACACCUUCGGGUGUGCCGGAUUGCCCUCUCAUCCGGUCGGCCAACCCUUGUACUGUUGCCACCCAA
RNAcentral lists this non-coding RNA (88 nucleotides) under Pseudomonas sp. StFLB209. Lineage: Bacteria; Pseudomonadati; Pseudomonadota; Gammaproteobacteria; Pseudomonadales; Pseudomonadaceae. The record is from RNAcentral.